This 900-nucleotide ribosomal RNA is filed under the name Procamallanus spiculogubernaculus. RNAcentral describes it as "SSU rRNA". It matches the Rfam family "Eukaryotic small subunit ribosomal RNA", at positions 91 to 975 of the family's 1831-position model. The record is from RNAcentral. Lineage: Eukaryota; Metazoa; Nematoda; Chromadorea; Rhabditida; Camallanidae.
AAUAGGUCUUCAUUACCAACAGCUAUAAUAUACUUGAUGUGAUAUUCCACGUGGAUCACUGUGGUAAUCUAGAGCUAUACAUGCACCAAAGCUCUGAUUGUUUGACGAGCGCAUCUAUAGACCAAAAACCAAUCGAGAUAGUUCGUGCAUUCGUGCUCGGACCUCUCGUAACUUUGGUGACUCUGAAUAGCUUAGCUGAUCGCAUGGUCAAGUACCGGCGACUUAUCUAUCAAGUGUCUGCCUUAUCAACUUUCGAUGGUAGUUUAUAUGCCUACCAUGGUUGUAACGGGUAACGGAGAAUAAGGGUUCGACUCCGGAGAGGGAGCCUGAGAAACGGCUACCACAUCCAAGGAAGGCAGCAGGCGCGCAAAUUACCCACUCUCAGCACGAGGAGGUAGUGACGAAAAAUAACGAGACCGUUCUCUUCGAGGCCGGUUAUCGGAAUGAGUACAACUUAAAGCAGUUAACAAGGAUCUAUGAGAGGGCAAGUCUGGUGCCAGCAGCCGCGGUAAUUCCAGCUCUCAAAGUGUAUAUCGUCAUUGCUGCGGUUAAAAAGCUCGUAGUUGGAUUUAAGCUGAAUGACUCGGUCCGUCCAUAGGGCGUGAACUGAGAUCAUCAGCUAAUUUUGCUGGUUUUGUCCAGGUGGCCUUAAUCGGUCGCCUUCACUGGCUAGCGAGUUUAUUUUGAAAAAAUUAGAGUGCUCAACGCGGGCUUAAUGCCUGAAUAUUCGUGCAUGGAAUAAUGGAAUAGGAUCUCGGUUCUAUUUUGUUGGUUUUCUGAUCUGAGAUAAUGGUUAAGAGGGACAGACGGGGGCAUUCGUAUCGCUGCGUGAGAGGUGAAAUUCUUGGACCGUAGCGAGACGCCCGACUGCGAAAGCAUUGCCAAGAAUUGUUUGUGCUU